UUUGAUUACCGGAGCAAAACGUGUCAAGUUGUCGUCAUAAACGUAUGGAGCUUUCUCGAACCAUGUUGCAUUAUCCUUCUCCGGUAAAGGUACAAUAUUCCGACAAACUUCUCCCAUGUACCCUGUAGUUCCAUGGUAAUGGUAGUAUCGAAUCUUAGUUUCUGUGUCAUGCAUCGUCUUCCCAGUUAGAAACUCCGACAUGUGAACUCCCACGGUAUACGCGUUUCUCGCUUUAACUGCGUAUUUCCGGUCUCUCCAUAGUCCGGUGAUAUCUUCUCGGAAGUUUAGCUUCUCAAACCCCCAUUCCGUGGGAUAGUUUCGACUGGGAUCAUCCACGCAUAGUUUUCCCGACAUGGGAUUCUGUUCUAUCGUGAACUGACUGUAAUCCUCUAAUUCUUCCAGAACGGACUCCAGAGUGCUGCCGUCCGGCAGGUAUAUAUACUCGUCAACAUCGAAUAGGAAUGUCCAAUUCGCGGUGUAUCGAUUCUGGUGUAAGCAGUCGUUUAAAAUCAAGAAUUGAUUGUAAUACCAACUAUCGUAAUCUUCCUGUCUUCUCACAUCUUGCAGCGUCACUCUCCCUAGCUCUAUCCAUGGAUCCAGAACCUUCUUCACGUCCGCCGAUAUCCCACCGGCGUCAUAUAGCAUGAAAUGCGAAU
RNAcentral lists this long non-coding RNA (656 nucleotides) under Zostera marina. RNAcentral's name for it is "long non-coding RNA (ZMAR_LNC002785)". Lineage: Eukaryota; Viridiplantae; Streptophyta; Magnoliopsida; Alismatales; Zosteraceae. The record is from RNAcentral.